This 66-nucleotide transfer RNA is filed under the name Dipodomys ordii (Ord's kangaroo rat). It matches the Rfam family "tRNA". From Rfam's summary of the family: Transfer RNA (tRNA) molecules are approximately 80 nucleotides in length. The record is from Rfam by way of RNAcentral. Lineage: Eukaryota; Metazoa; Chordata; Mammalia; Rodentia; Heteromyidae.
AAGGUGGCUCAGUGGUAGAGUGCUUGCCUUGCAUGCAUGUGGUCCUGGGUUCAAUUCCUCAGCCUU